This 407-nucleotide ribosomal RNA is filed under the name Mughiphantes nigromaculatus. RNAcentral's name for it is "partial 16S ribosomal RNA". Lineage: Eukaryota; Metazoa; Arthropoda; Arachnida; Araneae; Linyphiidae. The record is from RNAcentral.
AUUACUAUAAAUAAAAUCUGCUCAAUGAAAAUAAAUAGCCGCAGAAUUUUAACUGUGCUAAGGUAGCAUAAUCAUUUACCUUUUAAUUAAAGGUUUGUAUGAAUGAUUUUACAAUUAAAUUAUUUUUUUGUUAAUAUUAAUAAAAUUUAAACUAAGAAUAAAAAUGUUCUUAUUUUUAAAAAAGACGACAAGACCCUAUUGAACUUAACUUAAGUUUAGCUGGGGAAGCUAAUUAAAUAGUAUUUUAAUUAAUUUGCUUAAAUAAAUAGCUAAUAAAAUUAAAUAAACAAGUUACCAUAGGGAUAACAGCGUAAUAAUUUUCCAAAGCUCUUAUUGAAAUAAAUGAUUACGACCUCGAUGUUGAAUUAAAAUUACUUUAAAAUGCAAUAGAAUAAAAGUGGGUCUGU